CCAGGUGGCUCAAUGGAAAAGAAUCUGCCUGCCAAGCAGGAGACACAGGUUCGAGCCCUGAGUCUGGA
Molecule: transfer RNA, 68 nt
Filed under: Ovis aries (sheep)
Lineage: Eukaryota; Metazoa; Chordata; Mammalia; Artiodactyla; Bovidae
Rfam family: tRNA
About the family: Transfer RNA (tRNA) molecules are approximately 80 nucleotides in length. Their secondary structure includes four short double-helical elements and three loops (D, anti-codon, and T loops).
Source: Rfam by way of RNAcentral